CAGCCGCCGCGGUAAUACGUAGGGUGCGAGCGUUGUCCGGAAUUAUUGAGCGUAAAGAGCUUGUAGGCGGUCUGUCGCGUCUGCUGUGAAAACCCGAGGCUCAACCUCGGGCCUGCAGUGGGUACGGGCAGACUAGAGUGCGGUAGGGGAGAACGGAACUCCUGGUGUAGCGGUGGAAUGCGCAGAUAUCAGGAAGAACACCGAUGGCGAAGGCAGUUCUCUGGGCCGUAACUGACGCUGAGAAGCGAAAGCGUGGGGAGCGAACAGGAUUAGAUACCCCUGUAGUCCCUGUCUCUUAUAC
RNAcentral lists this ribosomal RNA (301 nucleotides) under uncultured bacterium. RNAcentral describes it as "partial 16S ribosomal RNA". It matches the Rfam family "Bacterial small subunit ribosomal RNA", at positions 509 to 807 of the family's 1533-position model. The record is from RNAcentral.